This 259-nucleotide long non-coding RNA is filed under the name Daucus carota (carrot). Its description in RNAcentral is "long non-coding RNA (DCAR_LNC004893)". Lineage: Eukaryota; Viridiplantae; Streptophyta; Magnoliopsida; Apiales; Apiaceae. The record is from RNAcentral.
ACAAGAUUUGUUACAGGCUCUUAUUGUAGUUUGGUCCUCCAAUCUAUUAUACUGUCAGCUGUUGCUGGAUUGUAUUUACAAAAUUAAUCCUUUCUGAAUUUGCCUUUUACCAUCUUGUUUUGUGACUUAUAUUUUAGUCUAGUUCUUCGUGUUUUUGGAAACAUCUUGCGAGUUUGAAAGGUGGUGUGGAGAGGUGAGAAGCAACAACACAAGAACAAAGAGCCAGCACUGGACUUCUUGAUGAAUAAUAUAGUUAUGC